This 245-nucleotide ribosomal RNA is filed under the name uncultured bacterium. RNAcentral's name for it is "partial 16S ribosomal RNA". It matches the Rfam family "Bacterial small subunit ribosomal RNA", at positions 524 to 768 of the family's 1533-position model. The record is from RNAcentral.
GACGAAGGUGGCAAGCGUUGUUCGGAAUCACUGGGCUUAAAGAGUACGUAGGCGGCUCGUCAAGUGCUUUGUGAAAUCCCUCGGCUCAACCGAGGAAUUGCUGGGCAGACUGGCGAGCUUGAGGCAGGUAUGGGCGAGUGGAACUCUUGGUGGAGCGGUGAAAUGCGUAGAUAUCAAGAGGAACGCCGGUGGUGAAGACGACUCGCCGGGCCUGUCCUGACGCUGAGGUACGAAAGCCAGGGGAG